AGCGAACUAGUACCGUGAGGGAAAGGUGAAAUAGAGCUUGGAUAAAGCAGUGAAACAGAACCUGAAACUGGAUGCCCACAAACAAUCGGGAGGGGUGAUUAUCACCUAACGAUGUACCUUUUGUAUAAUGGGUCAACAAGUUAAUAUCCUGAGCACAGCUUAAUAGCGCAGUGAAAGCAAGUUUUAAAUGAACAAAAUCAAAUCAGUUCAUGGUAUUAAACCCGAAACCGAGUGAUCUAGCCAUGAGCAAAUUGAAUGCUAUUUAAAACUAGCAGGAGGAUUGAACCCGUGUGUGUUGCAAAACGCUGGGAUGACUUGUGGCUAGGGGUGAAAGGCCAAUCAAACUCGGAGAUAGCUGGUUCUCUGCGAAACCUAUUUAAGUAGGAUGUUAGAUUCAUUUCAAUAGGGGUAGAGCCCCAGAUGAAUGAUAGGGCCCCAUAAGCCCAUUGAUUUCAACUGAACUUCGAAUACUAUUGCGUUUUAUCUAGCGGUCGCACUAUGAGCGCUAACGUCCAUAGUGGAGAGGGAAACAACCCAGACUUCAAGAUAAGGCCCUUAAAUUCAAGCUAAGUGUGAAAGGUUGUGUGCGCCCUAUGACAAUUGGGAUGUAGGCUCAGAAGCAGCCAUCAUUUAAAGAUAGCGUAACAGCUCACUAAUCUGAGGGCGCCUAGCACCGAAAAUGUAUCGGGACUAAGCUUGAUGCCGAAGCUGAAGGCACUGCCGAUAUGGCACUGCGGUAGCAGAGCGUUCCAUAGGCCAUUGAAGGCUAAGCUAUGAGGCUAAGCUUGAGGCAUUGGAAGCGAUAAUGUUGACAUGAGUAAUUAAAAUGAAAGUGAAAACCUUUCACGCUGAAAGACUAAGGUCUCCUAUUUAAAGUAAUCUGAAUAGGGCUAGCCGGCUCCUAAGGCCAAGCGAAACCGCGUAACCGAUGGUAAUCACGUUAAUAUUCGUGAGCCUGACUAUAGAUGACUUAGUUUUAAUCAUUAUGUCAAUUCUAAAUGGAUUGAAUUUGGCAUCAUGCUAGCUAACAGGAAAAAGUCUAUGGUUUUAAUGGCCGUACCGUAAACCGAAACAGGUGGUCUGGUAGACCAUACUAAGGCGAAGAGCUAAUUAUGCUGAAGGAACUCGGCAAACUGCAUGCGUAACCUCGGGAUAAGCAUGGCCAUUGUCUAGGGCAACCUGAUAUUGGCAUAAUACAAAUGGAGGGAGCGACUGUUUAUCAAAAACACAGGACUCUGCUAAAUUGUAAGAUGAUGUAUAGAGUUUGACGCCUGCCCAGUGCUGACAAGUGAAACUAUUGAGCGCAUUACAACGUUCAAAUAUAAGCCUCAGUAAACGGCGGCCGUAACUAUAACGGUCCAAAGGUAGCGAAACCCCUUGUCGGGUAAGUUCCGACCUGCAUGAAUGGCGUAACGACUUCCUCGCUGUCUCCAGCAUAAGCUCAAUGAAAUUGAAUUCCCCGUGAAGAUGCGGGGUACCUACGGCAAGACGGAAAGACCCCGUGCACCUUCACUAUAGCCUUGCAUUGAUGC
This 1532-nucleotide ribosomal RNA is filed under the name Candidatus Hodgkinia cicadicola. Its description in RNAcentral is "bacterial LSU rRNA". It matches the Rfam family "Bacterial large subunit ribosomal RNA", at positions 489 to 2123 of the family's 2925-position model. Lineage: Bacteria; Pseudomonadati; Pseudomonadota; Alphaproteobacteria; Hyphomicrobiales. The record is from RNAcentral.